GCCAGGCGUGGUGGCUCACGCCUGUAAUCCCAACACUCUGGGAGGCUGAGGUCGGCGGAUCACCAGAGGUCAGGAGACCAGCCUGGCCAACAUGGUGAAACCCGGUCUCUA
This 111-nucleotide small RNA is filed under the name Macaca fascicularis (crab-eating macaque). Its description in RNAcentral is "Metazoan signal recognition particle RNA (ENSMFAG00000064809.1)". The record is from Rfam by way of RNAcentral. RNAcentral also lists the same sequence under 1 other name. Lineage: Eukaryota; Metazoa; Chordata; Mammalia; Primates; Cercopithecidae.